This 536-nucleotide ribosomal RNA is filed under the name Microplana sp. clade-7. RNAcentral describes it as "SSU rRNA". It matches the Rfam family "Eukaryotic small subunit ribosomal RNA", at positions 398 to 944 of the family's 1831-position model. The record is from RNAcentral. Lineage: Eukaryota; Metazoa; Platyhelminthes; Tricladida; Geoplanidae.
GAGAAACGGCUACCACAUCCACGGAAGGCAGCAGGCGCGUAAAUUACCCAAUACCGGCUCGGUGAGGUAGUGCCAAAAAAUAACAAUAUGGGCCCUAGUGGUUUCAUAAUUGCAAUGAGAAUAUUUUAAAUACUUUAUCAAGUAUCAAUUGGAGGGCAAGUCUGGUGCCAGCAGCCGCGGUAAUUCCAGCUCCAAAAGCGUAUAUUAAAGUUGUUGCAGUUAAAAAGCUCGUAGUUGAAAUUCGGGAAUUAAAUGAAUUGAAAUCCUUGAUUGAAAUUCAUUUGUUCCUUUUAUGUCGUGUAUAUUUUUCAGGUACUUUAUUGUAUCUGAUUAAUAACCGGCUUGUUUACUUUGAAAAAAUUAGAGUGCUUAAAGCAGGCUUAUGCUUGUAUAUUGUUGCAUGGAAUAAUAAAAUAGGACUUCGGUUUUAUUUUGUUGGUUUUCGAAACUGAAGUAAUGAUUAAAAGAGACUGCCGGGGGCAUGUGUAUGCUGGUGUUAGAGGUGAAAUUCUUAGAUCAUCAGCAGACAAACUACU